Molecule: ribosomal RNA, 442 nt
Filed under: uncultured bacterium
Lineage: Bacteria
Description: partial 16S ribosomal RNA
Rfam family: Bacterial small subunit ribosomal RNA
Source: RNAcentral
CCUACGGGAGGCAGCAGUAGGGAAUCUUUCACAAUGGGCGAAAGCCUGAUGGAGCAACGCCGCGUGCAGGAUGAAGGCCUUUGGGUUGUAAACUUCUUUUAUAAGCGCGAAAUAUUAUGGUAACUUAUGACUAAGGAUCGGCUAACUCCGUGCCAGCAGCCGCGGUCAUACGUAGGAUGCGAGCAUUAUCCGGGGUGACUGGGUGUAAAGAGUUGCGUAGGUGGCAUAAUAAGUAGCUAGUGAAAUCUGGUGGCUCAACCAUUCAGACGAUUAGCUAAACUGUUAAGCUCGAGAACGUUAGGGGUAACUGGAAUUUCUAGUGUAGGAGUGAAAUCCGUAGAUAUUAGAAGGAACACCAAUAGCGUAGGCAGGUUACUGGGACGGUUCUGACACUAAGGCACGAAAGCGUAGGGAGCAAACGGGAUUAGAUACCCCUGUAGUC